UGGGAAUUUUGGACAAUGGGCGCAAGCCUGAUCCAGCCAUGCCGCGUGCGGGAAGAAGGCCUUCGGGUUGUAAACCGCUUUUGUCAGGGAAGAAAUCUUCUGAGUUAAUACCUCGGGAGGAUGACGGUACCUGAAGAAUAAGCACCGGCUAACUACGUGCCAGCAGCCGCGGUAAUACGUAGGGUGCAAGCGUUAAUCGGAAUUACUGGGCGUAAAGCGUGCGCAGGCGGUUUUGUAAGACAGAGGUGAAAUCCCCGGGCUCAACCUGGGAACUGCCUUUGUGACUGCAAGGCUUGAGUGCGGCAGAGGGGGAUGGAAUUCCGCGUGUAGCAGUGAAAUGCGUAGAUAUGCGGAGGAACACCGAUGGCGAAGGCAAUCCCCUGGGCCUGCACUGACGCUCAUGCACGAAAGCGUGGGGAGCAAACAGGAUUAGAUAGCCCUGGUAGUCCACGCCCUAAACGAUGUCAACUGGUUGUUGGGAAGGUUCCUUCUCAGUAACGUAGCUAACGCGUGAAGUUGACCGCCUGGGGAGUACGGCCGCAAGGUUG
This 548-nucleotide ribosomal RNA is filed under the name uncultured bacterium. RNAcentral's name for it is "partial 16S ribosomal RNA". It matches the Rfam family "Bacterial small subunit ribosomal RNA", at positions 356 to 896 of the family's 1533-position model. The record is from RNAcentral.